AUUGGACGCUGGCGGCAGGCCUAACACAUGCAAGUCGAGCGGAUGAAGGGAGCUUGCUCCUGGAUUCAGCGGCGGACGGGUGAGUAAUGCCUAGGAAUCUGCCUGGUAGUGGGGGAUAACGUCCGGAAACGGGCGCUAAUACCGCAUACGUCCUGAGGGAGAAAGUGGGGGAUCUUCGGACCUCACGCUAUCAGAUGAGCCUAGGUCGGAUUAGCUAGUUGGUGGGGUAAAGGCCUACCAAGGCGACGAUCCGUAACUGGUCUGAGAGGAUGAUCAGUCACACUGGAACUGAGACACGGUCCAGACUCCUACGGGAGGCAGCAGUGGGGAAUAUUGGACAAUGGGCGAAAGCCUGAUCCAGCCAUGCCGCGUGUGUGAAGAAGGUCUUCGGAUUGUAAAGCACUUUAAGUUGGGAGGAAGGGCAGAAAGUUAAUACCUUGCUGUUUUGACGUUACCAACAGAAUAAGCACCGGCUAACUUCGUG
RNAcentral lists this ribosomal RNA (484 nucleotides) under uncultured bacterium. RNAcentral's name for it is "partial 16S ribosomal RNA". It matches the Rfam family "Bacterial small subunit ribosomal RNA", at positions 30 to 507 of the family's 1533-position model. The record is from RNAcentral.